UCGUCUUAAACAGGCGUAAAGGGUGUGUAGGCAGCUUUGAAAGUUCUAUUUAUAAAUAGCUCUUUUUACCUUAUUUUAAGGUAUAAUAGAAUAAAUAAGCGAUUAAAAGCUAGAAUCAUGAAGAAGAUAAGCCAAAUAAUACUUAGAGUAGGAGUUAUAUCUGCAAAUACUAAGGGGAAUACUAACGGUGUAAACUUUUAUCUAUUAAUGAUUGACGCUGAGAAACGAAGGUGAGAACAGGAAAUAGGAUUAGAGACCCAGAUACCUCUCACUGUAAACGAUGAAUGGUGGUAGUUAGUAAUAGAAAAACUAGCUGCUAUGUUAACACGAUAACCAUUCCGCCUUGCGAGUACGGUUGCAAAACUGAA
Molecule: ribosomal RNA, 368 nt
Filed under: Clitopilus geminus
Lineage: Eukaryota; Fungi; Basidiomycota; Agaricomycetes; Agaricales; Entolomataceae
Description: SSU rRNA
Rfam family: Bacterial small subunit ribosomal RNA
Source: RNAcentral